GGCAGCGUGGCUCAGUGGAAAGAGCACGGGCUUGGGUGUCAGAGAACAUGGGUUCUAAUCCCACCUCUGCCU
This 72-nucleotide transfer RNA is filed under the name Ornithorhynchus anatinus (platypus). It matches the Rfam family "tRNA". Rfam says of the family: Transfer RNA (tRNA) molecules are approximately 80 nucleotides in length. Their secondary structure includes four short double-helical elements and three loops (D, anti-codon, and T loops). Further hydrogen bonds mediate the characteristic L-shaped molecular structure. tRNAs have two regions of fundamental functional importance: the anti-codon, which is responsible for specific mRNA codon recognition, and the 3' end, to which the tRNAs corresponding amino acid is attached (by aminoacyl-tRNA synthetases). tRNAs cope with the degeneracy of the genetic code in two manners: having more than one tRNA (with a specific anti-codon) for a particular amino acid; and 'wobble' base-pairing, i.e. permitting non-standard base-pairing at the 3rd anti-codon position. The record is from Rfam by way of RNAcentral. Lineage: Eukaryota; Metazoa; Chordata; Mammalia; Monotremata; Ornithorhynchidae.